GCCGUGAUCGUCUAGCCUGGUUUAGGAUUCAGGCCUGUGGCGCCUGGGACGCGAGUUCAAAUCUCGCUCACGGCC
Molecule: transfer RNA, 75 nt
Filed under: archaeon
Lineage: Archaea
Description: tRNA-His
Rfam family: tRNA
About the family: Transfer RNA (tRNA) molecules are approximately 80 nucleotides in length. Their secondary structure includes four short double-helical elements and three loops (D, anti-codon, and T loops). Further hydrogen bonds mediate the characteristic L-shaped molecular structure. tRNAs have two regions of fundamental functional importance: the anti-codon, which is responsible for specific mRNA codon recognition, and the 3' end, to which the tRNAs corresponding amino acid is attached (by aminoacyl-tRNA synthetases). tRNAs cope with the degeneracy of the genetic code in two manners: having more than one tRNA (with a specific anti-codon) for a particular amino acid; and 'wobble' base-pairing, i.e. permitting non-standard base-pairing at the 3rd anti-codon position.
Source: RNAcentral